UUAGCCCAGUUGGAUAGAGCGUCAGACUCCGAUUCUGAAGGCCGCGGGUUCGAGUCCCGCA
RNAcentral lists this transfer RNA (61 nucleotides) under bovine gut metagenome. It matches the Rfam family "tRNA", at positions 7 to 64 of the family's 71-position model. Rfam says of the family: Transfer RNA (tRNA) molecules are approximately 80 nucleotides in length. The record is from RNAcentral.